RNAcentral lists this unclassified non-coding RNA (277 nucleotides) under Glomus sp. Its description in RNAcentral is "partial contains 5.8S ribosomal RNA and internal transcribed spacer 2". The stretch from base 1 to 65 matches the Rfam family "5.8S ribosomal RNA", at positions 84 to 154 of the family's 154-position model. Lineage: Eukaryota; Fungi; Glomeromycota; Glomeromycetes; Glomerales; Glomeraceae. The record is from RNAcentral.
GUGAAUCAUCAAAUCUUUGAACGCAAAUUGCACUCUCUUCGGGGAGUAUGCCUGUUUGAGGGUCAGCCUAAAAACCCCCCACCUACUCCCUGUUUUCGCGGUGCCAUUCGUCGGACAUUCGGUCAUCUUAAACCUUUGGGUUUUACGCGGCUUAAAAUUUUCUUUACGGAUUCCACGAACGUUUCUAAGAUUUACUUCUUACACACGUUUAAGGCAUCCAUCUUUAUUAGACGUGGCCGUUGCAUCGGAUCUCGUCCAUCACUAUUUCGUUACCUGA